CCUACGGGAGGCAGCAGUCGAGAAUCAUUCACAAUGGGGGAAACCCUGAUGGUGCGACGCCGCGUGGGGGAAUGAAGGUCUUCGGAUUGUAAACCCCUGUCAUGUGGGAGCAAAUUAAAAAGAUAGUACCACAAGAGGAAGAGACGGCUAACUCUGUGCCAGCAGCCGCGGUAAUACAGAGGUCUCAAGCGUUGUUCGGAAUCACUGGGCGUAAAGCGUGCGUAGGCUGUUUCGUAAGUCGUGUGUGAAAGGCGCGGGCUCAACCCGCGGACGGCACAUGAUACUGCGAGACUAGAGUAAUGGAGGGGGAACCGGAAUUCUCGGUGUAGCAGUGAAAUGCGUAGAUAUCGAGAGGAACACUCGUGGCGAAGGCGGGUUACUGGACAUUAACUGACGCUGAGGCACGAAGGCCAGGGGAGCGAAAGGGAUUAGAUACCCGAGUAGUC
Molecule: ribosomal RNA, 446 nt
Filed under: uncultured bacterium
Lineage: Bacteria
Description: partial 16S ribosomal RNA
Rfam family: Bacterial small subunit ribosomal RNA
Source: RNAcentral